UAACUUAGCUAGUAAAUAGGUGUAUAACAGGGAAGCAGGUGAGAUUCCUGGACUGUACCAGCAACCGUGAAUCGGAUGUCUAUUCAUAAACCAUCGGAAACGAGAAGGAGAAUAGAUAGAUGAAGGAAGUCGGGAGACCUACCUAUUUAUUAAAUACAUU
Molecule: non-coding RNA, 160 nt
Filed under: Mycoplasmatota bacterium
Lineage: Bacteria; Bacillati; Mycoplasmatota
Source: RNAcentral